GAUGAACGCUGGCGGCGGGCCUAAUACAUGCAAGUCGAGCGAACAGACGAGGAUCUUGCUUGUUUGACGUUAGCGGCGGACGGGUGAGUCACAGGUGGAUACCUGACCUAUAAGACUGGGAUAACUUCGGGAAACCGGAGCUAAUACCGGAUAAUAUAUUGAACCGCAUGGUUCACUAGACAAAGACGGUUUUGCUGUCACUAAUAGAUGGAACCGCGUCGCAUUAGCUAGUUGGUAGGGUAACGGCUUACCAAGGCAACGAUGCGUAGCCGACCUGAGAGGAUGAUCAGCCACACUGGAACUGAGACACGGUCCAGACUCCUACGGGAGGCAGCAGUGGGGAAUAUUCGACAAUGGGCGAAAGCCUGACGCAGCAACGCCGCGUGAGUGAUGAAGGUCUUCGGAUCGUAAAGCACUGUUAGUAGGGAGGAACGGCUGUGUAUGAAUCUCUGGAUGUCUUGACGGUACCUAAACAAUAAGCCCCGGCUAACUUCGUG
Molecule: ribosomal RNA, 497 nt
Filed under: uncultured bacterium
Lineage: Bacteria
Description: partial 16S ribosomal RNA
Rfam family: Bacterial small subunit ribosomal RNA
Source: RNAcentral